Molecule: ribosomal RNA, 253 nt
Filed under: uncultured bacterium
Lineage: Bacteria
Description: partial 16S ribosomal RNA
Rfam family: Bacterial small subunit ribosomal RNA
Source: RNAcentral
CACGUAGGGCGCAAGCGUUGUCCGGAAUUAUUGGGCGUAAAGAGCUCGUAGGCGGUCUGUUACGUCUGCUGUGAAAACCCGGGGCUUAACCCUGGGCUUGCAGUGGAUACGGGCAGACUAGAGGCAGGUAGGGGAGAAUGGAAUUCCCGGUGUAGCGGUGAAAUGCGCAGAUAUCGGGAGGAACACCGGUGGCGAAGGCGGUUCUCUGGGCCUGACCUGACGCUGAGGAGCGAAAGCAUGGGUAGCGAACAGG